ACCGUGACUCACUCCUGGGACCCAGGGGAAACACAGCCCUGAGCUGCGGGCAAACACGGCCUGCCGCCUGCCCCGCCUCCAGCUCCCCGCCUCCACAUUUGCUAACCGAAACCCGGCUGUUGCUAUUUUUAACCCUCCAGCUCCCCCUUGCCUGGGGCUCCCCCCUUCACCCCACCCCCACCCCCCUGCCCCAACCGGGUGCCACCAGCCUGUCAUUCUGAGAGCAGUUCCACAACCUGAACGCCCAGGAGGGCGCAGCGGAUGCCCGUGCAGCUCUCCCAGGAGAGGGCCGGACCAUCCUGCAGCCCACAGCUCCGGGGCCCCCAGGAAAACCUACCAGAAGAGGCUGGAGGCGAGAGGGUCUGAAGGCUGCUGGCUGACGUGAAAGAGUGGAAGUUCCCUGAGGUCAGACGCCCUGCCAAUGAGAUCACUGUGUAUCUGUGCCCGGGACCUGGCAUACAGCAAGUCUCAUUCACAGGCCCAGAAUCAGAGCCCAGCCCAGCUGCCGGAUUUGCCGCCUACUCUCACUCCCCAGGACCAACAGACCCCAGGUUUGGGGGGCACACAUCCUGUCCCCCACCGCUCCGGACACAGCCUGCGGUCCCCAUCUUCCCGCGCCCC
Molecule: long non-coding RNA, 621 nt
Organism: Cervus elaphus (red deer)
Lineage: Eukaryota; Metazoa; Chordata; Mammalia; Artiodactyla; Cervidae
Exons: 4
Source: RefSeq, a predicted model, not a curated record